RNAcentral lists this ribosomal RNA (506 nucleotides) under uncultured bacterium. RNAcentral's name for it is "partial 16S ribosomal RNA". It matches the Rfam family "Bacterial small subunit ribosomal RNA", at positions 30 to 523 of the family's 1533-position model. The record is from RNAcentral.
AUUGAACGCUGGCGGUAGGCCUAACACAUGCAAGUCGAACGGCAGCACAGGAGAGCUUGCUCUCUGGGUGGCGAGUGGCGGACGGGUGAGGAAUACAUCGGAAUCUACUUUUUCGUGAGGGAUAACGUAGGGAAACUUACGCUAAUACCGCAUACGACCUACGGGUGAAAGCAGGGGAUCUUCGGACCUUGCGCGAUUGAAUGAGGCGAUGUCGGAUUAGCUAGUUGGGGGGGUAAAUGCCCACCAAGGCGACGAUCCGUAGCUGGUCUGAGAGGAUGAUCAGCCACACUGGAACUGAGACACGGUCCAGACUCCUACGGGAGGCAGCAGUGGGGAAUAUUGGACAAUGGGCGCAAGCCUGAUCCAGCCAUACCGCGUGGGUGAAGAAGGCCUUCGGGUUGUAAAGCCCUUUUGUUGGGAAAGAAAUCCAGCUGGUUAAUACCCGGUUGGGAUGACGGUACCCAAAGAAUAAGCACCGGCUAACUUCGUGCCAGCCGCCGCCGUAA